UUUGAAAUUUUGAUCCUGAUGUAACACUUAACAAACCUUUAUGCAAAUUGCUUUAUAUAAUAAUGACCAUUGGGAUGCAAGCCAUGAGCUGACACGUCAACUAGAAAAAAAACUUGGUAACAUGCUUUGUUACAGACACAGAGGUCUCCAUUCAGCUGCUUCUGUACAGUUGUCUAGUACUACCUGAGAAUACUAUAGGCUACCCACCCCGUCCCCAGCUAUAGGUUUCUCAUAUAUUCUUAUCUCAUGACAGAUUUCCCAUGUGUCGUAUCUGUCAGCUGCAUGUGGGUGUCUCAUGUACCCUGGGACGUCUUAAAUGGCACUACAUGCCCAGAUAUGGAAAAGGAGGCAAGCCCUGCAUUUGUUUACAUUGAAUUUAAAUGAUGUACAGGUUACAAAUUACUGUCUUGUUUGAGUUUCUUUCAUACAGAUCUGAAUUGCUUGCCACAUCCCUACAGAGCCACUAUCGUGGUUUUCUGGAGUGUGUGAUUUUUUACAGAUUAUAUCAUCGAGAUGGUGAUGGCUGUAGCCGAGGACGAACUGACCCUUCAGAAAAUGUACCUGAUCAGCCAGCUGCUGCCUGUGGUGUUUAGGCAUGCCAGCUCCAGCACAGGAGAAGUUGAAGAAAGCCUAUGCACAACUGCACAAGGACUACAUGAGUUGCACUGGUUAUGUGUCCCUGGAGAGGCCAAGAAAACAGGAAAAGGAGCCAGCCAAGAGGCAUAUUCAAGAGAAGGUUCACAAACUUCCCUAUUACCUUUGGGAUUGU
Long non-coding RNA from Grus americana (Whooping crane), 769 nucleotides. RefSeq lists it as uncharacterized. The transcript is spliced from 3 exons. NCBI's taxonomy places the organism in Eukaryota, Metazoa, Chordata, Aves, Gruiformes, Gruidae. The record is from RefSeq and is a predicted model, not a curated record.